RNAcentral lists this ribosomal RNA (499 nucleotides) under Marinobacter profundi. RNAcentral's name for it is "bacterial SSU rRNA". It matches the Rfam family "Bacterial small subunit ribosomal RNA", at positions 37 to 524 of the family's 1533-position model. The record is from RNAcentral. Lineage: Bacteria; Pseudomonadati; Pseudomonadota; Gammaproteobacteria; Pseudomonadales; Marinobacteraceae.
CGGCAAUUGCGGCAGCUUACACAUGCAGUCGAGCGGUAACAGGGGGAGCUUGCUCCCUGCUGACGAGCGGCGGACGGGUGAGUAAUGCUUAGGAAUCUGCCUGGUAGUGGGGGAUAGCCCGGGGAAACCCGGAUUAAUACCGCAUACGCCCUACGGGGGAAAGCAGGGGAUCUUCGGACCUUGCGCUAUUGGAUGAGCCUAAGUCGGAUUAGCUAGUUGGUAGGGUAAAGGCCUACCAAGGCGACGAUCCGUAGCUGGUCUGAGAGGAUGAUCAGCCACAUCGGGACUGAGACACGGCCCGAACUCCUACGGGAGGCAGCAGUGGGGAAUAUUGGACAAUGGGCGCAAGCCUGAUCCAGCCAUGCCGCGUGUGUGAAGAAGGCUUUCGGGUUGUAAAGCACUUUCAGUGAGGAGGAAGGCCUUAAGGUUAAUACCCUUGAGGAUUGACGUUACUCACAGAAGAAGCACCGGCUAACUCCGUGCCAGCAGCCGCGGUAAU